AAACAUGGUAUUUGAGAAUUUAAAAUGUGUGGAUUACAUUAUAUUUCUGUUGGACAUUGCUGGGUUAUAGCCUCAUAGGCCUUUCGCAACCAGGAUUUCAUGAGAGAAUUAAGCCUUGUGCCUGAAGGUCCAUUGUAUGUAAUGAAUGUACCAUCUCAGGAGAGUUAAGAAACAGUCACUCAAAUCAUUUUCUGUGCUCUGUGGUUCAGAUAAGAAACUUAGAUGAGAAAGGCUGUAGCACCUGUUGUUACUCUUUUUUCUGUUGUUGCAUGCAUUUACUGUUCAUUUUUUAUUUUAUUUUAUUUUAUUUUAUUUUUGAGAUGGAGUCUUGCUUUGUCGCCCAGGCUGGAGUGCAGUGGUGCAAUCUCGGCUCACUGCAAGCUCUGCUUCCCGGGUUCAUGCCAUUCUCCUUCCUCAGCCUCCCGAGUAGCUGUGACUACAGGUGCCCGCCACCAUGCCUGGCUAAUUUUUUGUAUUUUUAGUAGAGACAGGGUUUCACCAUGUUAGUCAGGAUGGUCUCGAUCUCCAGACCUUGUGAUCCACCCACCUCGGCCUCCCAAAAUGCUGGGAUUACAGGUGUGAGCAACCGCGCCUGGCUGCUGUUCAUUAUUUUUUAUUGCUUACUAAUAAUAUUCCAUUGUAUAAAUGUACCACAACUUGUCUGUCCAUUCUGCUGCUUGACAUUUGUGUUUCCAGGUUGAGGCUGUUAUUUAACUUUGAUUUUAAGUUCAAGGGUGCAUGUGCAGGGCGUGCAGGUUUGUUAUACAGGUAAACAUGUGUCAUGGGGGGUUUGUUGUUUCAAAUUUCAAUUCAAAUUCCUGUAGUGUUUCUCUCAAUUGUAUAAUGAGGGCUGUUGGUUUGAGACAGAUACUACUAAGCUUCUAAGUUGUUUUUCUCUUUUUUAAAAUCUCAGAUGAAUGUUACAUUUUUCCAAUUACCAUUUCAAUAUCUAUUGAGAGGAUCAUAUCACUUUUUUAUCUUGGAAUUAUCAAUAUGCUUGUUUGAUUAUUAACAUUAGCUGAUUCCUGUAUUUCUUAGCCAAACUUGUUAAGUUUGGGGAUUUUUUUUUCCGUCACUUUUUGUGCUGUGGUAUAAACUAUUUGCCAUAAGAAUUAUGUAUUCUUCAAAAGCCUGAGAGAACUCACUGGUAAAACCAUGUGGUCUUGGAACCUUUGGUUUAACUUUUCUCGUUUCUUGCAGGGUUUUUAGCAUACUCAUCAAAUAUAGAAAAGUUUCAGUUAGUCAAAAAUAGAAGGCAGUGCGAAGAUUAGGUCAGAGCCUGCACCUUCCUGUGAAGCAGGUACUUCCAAAAAUUUCAUUUUGUAUUCCCAGCAAUAGUCAGGAUGACCCUGCAGCACAUGAGGAUCAACAUUAAGAAAGAUUGAACUGUGCUGAGACACAUGAAUUGCAAUGGGAAAAGUGAGCAACAAGUUAGAGAUUGCAGAAAACCAAAGUAAUAAAUUAAGGGACAAACUACAAUUUUCUUCUGAAACUCAGAGCAAAAACAAAGGAAGAUGAAUGUGAUGAAUUGUUUCUAGGAGAUGUCAUGUGUGUAUAUCACAGGAAUUCUAAAAAGGAAGGGUGGGCAGAUGUGAGAAAAUGUUUGUAAUGUAUUAAGGACAAAAGCAGAUUAUAAAACCACAGCUAUAGUAUGAGCUCAGUUGAGAGCCAGUGUGUGUGCAUGUGUGUGCCCCUGCACCUGUGAGUGUGGGCAUAGCUACCGGCCAUGGAUGUGCUCUGUGGCUGAGGGUCCAGGCUCCAGAGGCAACAGGCCUAGGUUUAGUCCUGGCUCUCAUAUUGAACACAUAUGAGGAUUUGAGCAAAUUGUUGAACUUCUCCAGCUAUGCCUCUAUUUCUUCAUCUGUAAAAUGGGGCAAUAAUAGUACCUAUUUCAUAGGGGUGUUGUGAGAAUUCAGGGAGCAAUGGAUAAAUAUAUGUAAAAUUACUGACAUUGUGCCUGACACUUAGAAAGUGUCCUCAGUAAAUGUUAUUGUUUUUAUUGUCAUUAUUAUAAACCAAAAUGUAAACUUUAGUUUUCUCUGAGUGUUAAGGCUAAUAGGUAAUUUAAAUUUUCUUCAUUGGAGGCCAGGCCCAUCUGCCUAUAGUUCCAGUUACUCGGGACGCUUAGGCAGGAGGAUUGCUUGAGCCCAGGAGUUUAAGGCCAGCCUAAGCAAUGUAAUAAGACCCUGCCGGCCAGGCUUGGUGGCUCGCAGUUGUAAUCCCAGCACUUUGCGAGGCCGAGGCAGGUGGAUCACUUGAGGUCAAGAGUUUGAGACCAGCCUGGCCAACAUGGUGAAACCCCGUCUCUACUAAAAAUACAAAAACUUAGCCGGGCAUAUUGGUGCACCUGUAAUACCAGCUACUCGGGAGGCUGAGGCAGGAGAAUUGCUUGAAUCCUGGAGGUGGAGGUUGUGAGCUGAGAUCGCACCAUUGCACUCCAGCCUGGGCAACAAAGGGAGACUCUGUCUCAAAAAAAAAAAAAAAGGCAUUCAGAUUUUUAAAAAAAGUUCUUCAUUGGGCUUCUGUAUCAUGCAGGUUUUCUGUAAUGAACAUGUAUUAGGUCCCUAAUUAAAAAAAAGAAAAGUUUUUCUUCUUCUUCUUUUUUUUUUUUUUUUUUAAAGAGAACAUCUGAAUGAUGUAUUCGGAAAAAAACAUUUCCCAAGAAUAUGGAGAAAGGGAAUUGAACAUAAUUCCCAGUGUAAGAGUGGAAUGAGCAUGUGGCCCUGUGGGCCUAGUCCCAGUUUGUUAAUCUUGUGAGCAGAGCUGCUGGCGGCUGCUCUCAGUCCGCUAAUCGGGCUCUUUCUCUGUCACGUGGACAGGAGACUGCUCACAGGGUUGCAGUUGGCUGCUGCCCUGCGUUGACAGCUGGUUCUAAUUGUGCAGAGCUACGUAGUACUAGGGCUGGAGAGGGAAGGUUUUGGGAAAUUUGCAUCAUCUUCCUGACCCUAAGUCUGUAUGUUUUCCAAGCAGAUGGUAGCUUGAGGAUUUGAUGAAACAGUAGUGACUGUAAAUGAGUUGUUAUUCUAUAGAAACUAGUAUGACCUGAAAGCUGAGAAAGAUAAAUUGCUUCUGCUUAUUCAGUGAGUACAUAUAUGUGUAUACUGAUUUCACUGGAGGCACCAUUUUUCCACAGUGAUCCUUUCCCCCUCUUGUGGUUUGUCUAGCCAGGGGUUCUGGGGCCUCGGGAGGCCCUCAUGUUCAUUUCUUCCACGGCCCAUACUGCCUCCUCCCUUUCUCCACACACACAGCCCUUAACAGGUAUUUAUUUCAAAUUACCAAAGUGAGUUGCUCUCACAUAAGAAAAUGCAAAUAUCCCGUGCACUUACCAAACUUGAUUCUAGUAUAGUAGAAGGUGCUUAAAGGGUUUGGGCCCUCUCUGCCGUGCUCUCCCUCAUGGCAUCAGGGCAAUACAGCCUACCAAACACUCCAUGUGAGGGUUUGGGGAGCCACCUCUGCCCAGUCCCUACGUUGUUUUCCCAUCCCAUGCAGAAAAAAAAAAAAAAUUGCACUCUUUACCUUCCCUUAAGGCUGGGACCUGGCCUCCCACCCCUGUCCUGUCUCACUGUUUCUUCUCCCACUCCUCCCCAGGCUCCUUCUGCUCCAGCCAUGGGCUACCUUGCUGUUCUCAGAUAUCUCAUGGUGUUCCUGAAUCAGGGUCUUGACCCGUGCACUUCACUUCCUUCUGCCUGGGACCCUCCUCCCCUAGAUACCUGCAGAGCAUGCUCCUUUACCUCAUUCCUGUCUCUACUCCAUGCCAGCUUGUCAGACAGGCCUGCUGAGACAUCCCCUCCAAAUAUUCCUACCUUCAUCCUCAUUCAUGCUUUUUCGCAGGAGUUAUCAUCUGACUUAUUAUGAUUUCUUUAGAAAUCUCUCUUCUCCUGUAGAAGAAAGAACUAAAGAUACCUCAGUCCACUGGCAGCUCCCAGAAGGCUUGGACCUAGGCAAUGUCUAUUAGGACUGCAACCUUGGGAAAUAAAGCAGGAAAGUCCA
Molecule: long non-coding RNA, 3990 nt
Organism: Homo sapiens (human)
Lineage: Eukaryota; Metazoa; Chordata; Mammalia; Primates; Hominidae
Exons: 2
Source: RefSeq, a predicted model, not a curated record